RNAcentral lists this ribosomal RNA (497 nucleotides) under uncultured bacterium. RNAcentral describes it as "partial 16S ribosomal RNA". It matches the Rfam family "Bacterial small subunit ribosomal RNA", at positions 28 to 507 of the family's 1533-position model. The record is from RNAcentral.
GAUGAACGCUGGCGGCGUGCCUAAUACAUGCAAGUCGAGCGAACAGACGAGGAGCUUGCUCCUCUGACGUUUGCGGCGGAGGUGUGAGUAACACGUGGAUAACCUACCUAUAUGACUGGGAUAACUUCGGGAAACCGGAGCUAAUACCGGAUAAUAUAUUGAACCGCAUUGUUCAAUAGUGAAAUACGGUUUUGCUGUCACUUAUAGAUGCUUCCGGGCGGCAUUAGCUAGUUGUUAAGGUAACGGCUUACCAAGGCAAGCAUGCGUAGCCGACAUGAGAGGGUGAUAGGCGACCUGGGAACUGAGUCACGGUCCAGAGUCCUACGGGAGGGACCAGUAGGGUACCUUACGCAAUGGGCGAAAGCCUGACGGAGCAACGGAGAGUGAGAGACGAAGGUACUCGGAUCGUAAAGCUGUGUUAUUAGGGAAGAACAAAUGUCUAAGUAACUAUGCACGUCUUGACGGUACCUAAUCAGAAAGCCACGGCUAACUACGUG